RNAcentral lists this transfer RNA (74 nucleotides) under Marmota monax (woodchuck). RNAcentral's name for it is "tRNA.Gly". Lineage: Eukaryota; Metazoa; Chordata; Mammalia; Rodentia; Sciuridae. The record is from RNAcentral.
GUGGGGUACAGCUCAGAGGUAGAGUGCUUGACCACCACACAGGACACCCUAGGUUCAAUCCCAAGCCUCUGAUA